ACCUAGCUGGCUCAGUUGAAGAGCAUAUGACUCUUGAUCUUGGGGUCAUGAGUUCAAGCCCCACACUGGGUG
RNAcentral lists this transfer RNA (72 nucleotides) under Felis catus (domestic cat). It matches the Rfam family "tRNA". From Rfam's summary of the family: Transfer RNA (tRNA) molecules are approximately 80 nucleotides in length. Their secondary structure includes four short double-helical elements and three loops (D, anti-codon, and T loops). Lineage: Eukaryota; Metazoa; Chordata; Mammalia; Carnivora; Felidae. The record is from Rfam by way of RNAcentral. RNAcentral also lists the same sequence under 3 other names.